GAUGAACGCUGGCGGCGUGCUUAACACAUGCAAGUCGAGCGAGUGAGUUCUUCGGAACGAUCUAGCGGCGGACGGGUGAGUAACACGUGGGCAACCUGCCUCAUAGAGGGGAAUAGCCUCCCGAAAGGGAGAUUAAUACCGCAUAAAAUUAUCGAGUGGCAUCACAUGAUAAUCAAAGGAGUAAUCCGCUAUGAGAUGGGCCCGCGGCGCAUUAGCUAGUUGGUGAGGUAACGGCUCACCAAGGCGACGAUGCGUAGCCGACCUGAGAGGGUGAUCGGCCACAUUGGGACUGAGCCACGGCCCAGACUCCUACGGGAGGCAGCAGUGGGGAAUAUUGCACAAUGGGGGAAACCCUGAUGCAGCAACGCCGCGUGAGUGAUGAAGGUCUUCGGAUUGUAAAGCUCUGUCUUUGGGGACGAUAAUGACGGUACCCAAGGAGGAACCCACGGCUAACUACGUGCCAGCCGCCGCCGUAA
This 476-nucleotide ribosomal RNA is filed under the name uncultured bacterium. RNAcentral's name for it is "partial 16S ribosomal RNA". It matches the Rfam family "Bacterial small subunit ribosomal RNA", at positions 28 to 523 of the family's 1533-position model. The record is from RNAcentral.